Molecule: non-coding RNA, 110 nt
Organism: Acanthosepion pharaonis
Lineage: Eukaryota; Metazoa; Mollusca; Cephalopoda; Sepiida; Sepiidae
Source: the annotation of a GenBank genome assembly
UUACGAUCAAAUCACGAUGAACACACCUGUUCUCGUCUGAUCACCGAAGUUAAGCCUCGUCAGGUCAGUACCUAGGUGGGUAACAGCAUGGGAAUACUUGGUACUGUAAG